RNAcentral lists this ribosomal RNA (407 nucleotides) under uncultured bacterium. RNAcentral's name for it is "partial 16S ribosomal RNA". It matches the Rfam family "Bacterial small subunit ribosomal RNA", at positions 30 to 526 of the family's 1533-position model. The record is from RNAcentral.
AUUGAACGCUGGCGGCAGGCCUAACACAUGCAAGUCGAGCGGAGCGGCGGACGGGUGAGUAAUGCCUAGGAAUGUGCCUGGUAGUGGGGGAUAACGUCCGGAAACGGGAGCUAAUACCGCAUACUAUCAGAUGAGCCUAGGUCGGAUUAGCUAGUUGGUGGGGGAAAGGCUUACCAAGGCGACGAUCCGUAACUGGUGUGAGAGGAUGACCAGUCACACUGGAACUGAGACACGGUCCAGACUCCUACGGGAGGCAGCAGUGGGGAAUAUUGGACAAUGGGCGAAAGCCUGAUCCAGCCAUGCCGCGUGUGUGAAGAAGGUCUUCGGAGUGUAAGGCACUUUUAGUUGGGAAGCGGUACCAACAGAAUAAGCACCGGCUAACUUCGUGCCAGCAGCCGCGGUAAUUC